Long non-coding RNA from Eucalyptus grandis, 211 nucleotides. RefSeq lists it as uncharacterized. The record is from RefSeq and is a predicted model, not a curated record. Lineage: Eukaryota; Viridiplantae; Streptophyta; Magnoliopsida; Myrtales; Myrtaceae. The transcript has 3 exons.
UGUGACGGGCCCAUACAGAAUUGACUAUAUGGCUACGAAGAACCUCAUUGAUGCAGCAACUUCGGCCAAAGUUAACCACUUCAUCAUGGUUUCAUCUUUGGGAACAAACAAGGUCGGAUUUCCUGCGGCUAUACUGAAUUUGUUCUGGGGAGUGUUAAUCUGGAAAAGAAAAGCUGAAGAAGCACUUAUAGCCAGUGGUACUCCUUACACU